RNAcentral lists this ribosomal RNA (253 nucleotides) under uncultured bacterium. RNAcentral describes it as "partial 16S ribosomal RNA". It matches the Rfam family "Bacterial small subunit ribosomal RNA", at positions 524 to 776 of the family's 1533-position model. The record is from RNAcentral.
UACGGAGGGUGCAAACGUUGCUCGGAAUCAUUGGGCGUAAAGCGCACGUAGGCGGUCCGUUAUGUCGGGUGUGAAAUCCCCGGGCUCAACCCGGGAACUGCGUCCGAUACUUCCGGGCUGGAGGUAGGUAGGGGAGAUCGGAAUUCCUGGUGUAGCGGUGAAAUGCGCAGAUAUCAGGAGGAACACCGGUGGCGAAGGCGGAUCUCUGGGCCUUACCUGACGCUGAGGCGCGAAAGCUAGGGGAGCGAACAGG